GGCUCGUUGGUGCAGGGGUAUGAUUCUCACUUAAGGCGUGAGAGGUCCUGGGUUCAAACCCCAGACGAACCC
Molecule: non-coding RNA, 72 nt
Organism: Caranx melampygus (bluefin trevally)
Lineage: Eukaryota; Metazoa; Chordata; Actinopteri; Carangiformes; Carangidae
Source: the annotation of a GenBank genome assembly